Molecule: unclassified non-coding RNA, 1901 nt
Filed under: Hevea brasiliensis (rubber tree)
Lineage: Eukaryota; Viridiplantae; Streptophyta; Magnoliopsida; Malpighiales; Euphorbiaceae
Source: RNAcentral
GUGAAAUCAGUCCAUCAAUUAUUACCCGAUCAUUGUACCUCAAUUCUUAAAACACAAAAAUUAACUGAACAGAAUAGAUUUCCAAAUGGCUAAUCCUUAUGUCCUUCAAAUUACAGUUACAAACGCGGAUCAGAGAAAGUGGCCAACGUAGAAAUAUUACAUUGGAAGGAAUCCCUCCCCAAUGACUAAGCAGCCUCCGGACUUCUCUCUCACUCUUUCUAUGAACAAGAACAAUCAGCAUUCAACAUACCAAGAGAAGCACUUGCCUCUCAACCCCUUCUUAUUUCUUCAAAAUUAAACCUCCCUCAAACUUCAUUACAUGUACAUAGUUUGAGAGUGCAAAACUCACCACCAAAGAUCAGUAAACCUGUAUAUACAUCAAACAAAACCACAACCAUUAGGCCUCCCCCAAUUUUUGUUCCCUCUCUCUUCAGAUCAAAAUUUGCUAAUUUCUGGGUUUUUUUUUUUAAAUUCAGAGUUCAAUGUUUAAGCCACUGCAGAGAUGCUGCAAUUUCUUCUAUCUCUGCUAAGACAAUCAAACCCUUCAAUCCUUACAGCAGCUGGCUUGUGCCCAAAUUUCAUUCGGACACAUCCUCCUCCCUUGCGUGCUGACGAUGAGGAUGGUGAUAGUGGGGCAGGAGACAAAGGAGUUAACUUCUCAUUGCCAAAUUGGGCAUCUUGGACUACAGGGUUUGAUGCCCUACUUGGGGGUGAUCCACAGUAAAAUGGUGGCGAUAAUGCUACCUGGUAACCUGAUCUUUCUCCACCACAUCCUCCCUGAAAAAAUCAAGAAAAACAUAAUCAGUUUCCUUUGUCGCUGAUAAUAUAAAUUCAGUACAUUGUGUAUUUUAUUUUCCUUUUCCUUUAGCCAAGAUAUUCAUUCAUAAACUAAUUAACUGACAGAAAAUAUAUAAUCUUUUCACUAUACGAUUAGAGAAAGCAUGUAAACUAUUUCCACCACAAAAUUGAAAGAUCCUCUUUUUUUUAAGAGGCUCAGAUGAGUAGCAAGAAAUCUCAAGCUUUAAAGGAAUUUAUACAAGAAAGAUGAAAAAUAAAUAAAAGAUUUUACAAGAUUCGAGUCAACCACACAUAAGUCCAACAGGAAGAUGCCAUCACAAAAGAUUUUUGGCAGAAAAAAACAAGAGGUUCUUGCUUCUUAGCUAGGACUCUACUAGAGUUAUUCUGUUUUCGAGUAAUGGACGGAUAAAACUAUGUACUACAGCGUUCUUGUUCUCCUUCUUAGCUUAGCUACGAUACAACAUAAUACCAAAAUAAUAAUAACAAUAAAGUGUAAAAUUCCAAUUCGACAAAGAGAGAUGAACCUUAGUGAGAAUUAUGUCAAGAAGCUCAGGCCCAGCAAUAGAAUCUCCCAUGUCAGUCUGGUGACUGCCAUUUGCAAGAAGAAUAAACCAAAAUAAAAACAAUAAAUUUAUAUAGUUUAGAUUAGAAGACAGAAAAUCUAACAAAUAAAGAUAUACAUAUAUAUAAAUUAUACUUGAUGGGCAAUCUUAAGGGUCUGAAUUGGUCGUGAAGGGAAGGAUUUGAAAGACCCAAACGGCGAGGCUUGGGGCAAACCAUAGAGUCUACCACCAUCAUCCUCCUCUCCUCGCAGCCUCCCAUGGCGCUUUUUCGCAGGUACCCACAAGAAUUCAUUUUCGAUUAUCGUUCACACAGCGAACGCCUGAGCAGCCAGAAAGGCUCCUCCACGAGGAGGAGAGGAGAGAAUUAAGGAGGAAGAAUGGGGAGGCCCAGGGAGGAGAAAUCAAGAGAUUAGAUACCCAGAGAGAGAGUCAGAGAGAGAAAAGAUAUGGCGAUGGAUUUGAUCAUUCAUGGAAAGGCCACAAUCCACAUGGGAAGAAGAUGAGCAUGAGUCGGUCAGGUUCAGGUGUGGUCGAGUCUGG